Molecule: ribosomal RNA, 1018 nt
Filed under: uncultured bacterium
Lineage: Bacteria
Description: bacterial SSU rRNA
Rfam family: Bacterial small subunit ribosomal RNA
Source: RNAcentral
AGGAAUAUUGGUCAAUGGGCGCGAGCCUGAACCAGCCAAGUAGCGUGCAGGAUGACGGCCCUAUGGGUUGUAAACUGCUUUUAUAGGGGGAUAAAGUGUGGGACGUGUCCCAUAUUGCAGGUACCCUAUGAAUAAGGACCGGCUAAUUCCGUGCCAGCAGCCGCGGUAAUACGGAAGGUCCGGGCGUUAUCCGGAUUUAUUGGGUUUAAAGGGAGCGUAGGCCGUCUGUUAAGCGUGUUGUGAAAUGUCGUGGCUCAACCGGGGCACUGCAGCGCGAACUGGCAGACUUGAGUGCACGGUAGGAAGGCGGAAUUCGUCGUGUAGCGGUGAAAUGCUUAGAUAUCACGAAGAACUCCGAUUGCGAAGGCAGCUUACCGGAGCGCAACUGACGCUGAGGCUCGAAAGCGCGGGUAUCGAACAGGAUUAGAUACCCUGGUAGUCCGCGCGGUAAACGAUGGAUGCCCGCCGUUGGGUUUUAGAAUUCAGCGGCCAAGCGAAAGCGUUAAGCAUCCCACCUGGGGAGUACGCCGGCAACGGUGAAACUCAAAGGAAUUGACGGGGGCCCGCACAAGCGGAGGAACAUGUGGUUUAAUUCGAUGAUACGCGAGGAACCUUACCCGGGCUUGAAUUGCAGGAGAACGAUCCAGAGAUGGUGAGGCCCUUCGGGGCUCCUGUGAAGGUGCUGCAUGGUUGUCGUCAGCUCGUGCCGUGAGGUGUCGGCUCAAGUGCCAUAACGAGCGCAACCCCUGUCCAUAGUUGCCAUCAGGUCGUGCUGGGCACUCUGUGGAGACUGCCGCCGUAAGGUGUGAGGAAGGUGGGGAUGACGUCAAAUCAGCACGGCCCUUACGUCCGGGGCUACACACGUGUUACAAUGGGGCAUACAGCGAGUUGGAUGUGCGCAAGUACGUCCGGAUCAAUAAAGUGCCUCUCAGUUCGGACUGGGGUCUGCAACCCGACCCCACGAAGCUGGAUUCGCUAGUAAUCGCGCAUCAGCCAUGGCGCGGUGAAUACGUUCCCG